UACAGAGAGUGCAAACGUUGUUCGGAAUUACUGGGCUUAAAGCGCACGUAGGCGGCACUGUAAGUGUCGGGUGAAAUCCCACGGCUCACCCGUGGAAUUGCCCGGCAGACUGCAGUGCUCGAGUGUGGUAGGGGAGAGCGGAACUCCUGGUGGAGCGGUGAAAUGCGUAGAUAUCAGGAGGAACACCGGUGGCGAAGGCGGCUCUCUGGUCCAUAACUGACGCUGAGGUGCGAAAGCUAGGGUAGCGAACGGG
Molecule: ribosomal RNA, 253 nt
Filed under: uncultured bacterium
Lineage: Bacteria
Description: partial 16S ribosomal RNA
Rfam family: Bacterial small subunit ribosomal RNA
Source: RNAcentral